GAUGAACGCUGGCGGCGUGCCUAAUACAUGCAAGUCGAGCGAACAGACGAGGAGCUUGCUCCUCUGACGUUAGCGGCGGACGGGUGAGUAACACGUGGAUAACCUACCUAUAAGACUGGGAUAACUUCGGGAAACCGGAGCUAAUACCGGAUAAUAUAUUGAACCGCAUGGUUCAAUAGUGAAAGACGGUUUUGCUGUCACUUAUAGAUGGAUCCGCGCCGCAUUAGCUAGUUGGUAAGGUAACGGCUUACCAAGGCAACGAUGCGUAGCCGACCUAAGAGGGUGAUCGGCAACACUGGAACUGAGACACGGUCCAGACUCCUACGGGAGGCAGCAGUAGGGAAUCUUCCGCAAUGGGCGAAAGCCUGACGGAGCAACGCCGCGUGAGUGAUGAAGGUCUUCGGAUCGUAAAACUCUGUUAUUAGGGAAGAACAAAUGUGUAAGUAACUAUGCACGUCUUGACGGUACCUAAUCAGAAAGCCACGGCUAACUACGUG
This 497-nucleotide ribosomal RNA is filed under the name uncultured bacterium. RNAcentral describes it as "partial 16S ribosomal RNA". It matches the Rfam family "Bacterial small subunit ribosomal RNA", at positions 28 to 507 of the family's 1533-position model. The record is from RNAcentral.